UACGGGGGGGAGCAAGCGUUGUUCGGAUUUACUGGGCGUAAAGGGCGCGUAGGCGGUCGUGACAAGUCACUUGUGAAAUCUCCGGGCUUAACUCGGAACGGUCAAGUGAUACUGUCGGACUAGAGUACAGAAGGGGCAACUGGAAUUCUCGGUGUAGCGGUGAAAUGCGUAGAUAUCGAGAGGAACACCUGCGGCGAAGGCGGGUCUCUGGGCCGAUACUGACGCUGGAGGAGCGAAAGCGUGGGGAGCGAACAGG
This 256-nucleotide ribosomal RNA is filed under the name uncultured bacterium. Its description in RNAcentral is "partial 16S ribosomal RNA". It matches the Rfam family "Bacterial small subunit ribosomal RNA", at positions 524 to 776 of the family's 1533-position model. The record is from RNAcentral.